AGUGAACGCUGGCGGUAGGCCUAACACAUGCAAGUCGAACGGCAGCACAGUAAGAGUUUGCUCUUACGGGUGGCGAGUGGCGGACGGGUGAGGAAUACAUCGGAAUCUACUUUUUCGUGGGGGAUAACGUAGGGAAACUUACGCUAAUACCGCAUACGACCUACGGGUGAAAGCAGUGGAUCUUCGGACCUUGCGCGAUUGAAUGAGCCGAUGCCGGAUUAGCUAGUUGGCGGGGUAAAGGCCCACCAAGGCGACGAUCCGUAGCUGAUCUGAGAGGAUGAUCAGCCACACUGGAACUGAGACACGGUCCAGACUCCUACGGGAGGCCGCAGUGGGGAAUAUUCGGCAAUGGGCGCAAGCCUGAUGCAGCCACACCGCGUGAGUGAAGAAGGCCUUCGGAUCGUAAAACCCUUUUAUUGGGGAAGAAAAACAGCGGGUGAAAACACGCCUGUUCUGACGGUACCCAAAGAAUAAGCACCGGCUAACUUCGUG
Molecule: ribosomal RNA, 492 nt
Filed under: uncultured bacterium
Lineage: Bacteria
Description: partial 16S ribosomal RNA
Rfam family: Bacterial small subunit ribosomal RNA
Source: RNAcentral